Molecule: long non-coding RNA, 557 nt
Filed under: Homo sapiens (human)
Lineage: Eukaryota; Metazoa; Chordata; Mammalia; Primates; Hominidae
Description: non-protein coding lnc-CCDC114-1:5
Source: RNAcentral
ACUGAACUUGGAGCACCAAGAACAGGAGCCCCACCCUGUUUGGCCAGGAUGCCUUUGGGACGCUUGGCAGGGAGCGCCCGCUCCGAGGAGGGAAGCGAGGCAUUUCUGGAGGGAAUGGGUAAUUCAUUCAUUCUUUAUAUCAUUCACCCAUUCUUUUCCAGCCCCCAGCUUUCCCAAGUUCCAGGUCCUGUAGGGAGGGAGGGAGAGUGUCUGUCCAGGAGCGCCCUCUGGUGGGAACAGACAUGCGCCCUAAGGGAGGCGGGGCGGGCACCACGGUGGGUGGGCCAAGCCUGGGCAGUGGGGCAGGCUGGAGACUUCAGGCAGCAGAAGUUUGAGUGGGGCCCAGAACUCCCUGUAGGAAUUGCCAAGGGGAGAAGGAAGGAAGGGUGUUUCUACAGAGAUGACAGAAUGUGGCUAGAGUAGGCUUUCUCAACCUUGGUACUGUUGACUCUUGGGGUGGGAUAAUUCUUUGUUGUGGGGGCAGUCCUGUGUGUCGUAGGAUGCCAAGCAGUGUCCAUGGCUUCUACUCACUGGAUACCAGUAGCCCCCUCCCUUCU